AGUGAACGCUGGCGGUAGGCCUAACACAUGCAAGUCGAACGGCAGCACAGUAAGAGCUUGCUCUUACGGGUGGCGAGUGGCGGACGGGUGAGGAAUACAUCGGAAUCUACUUUUUCGUGGGGGAUAACGUAGGGAAACUUACGCUAAUACCGCAUACGACCUACGGGUGAAAGCAGGGGAUCUUCGGACCUUGCGCGAUUGAAUGAGCCGAUGUCGGACUAGCUAGUUGGCGGGGUAAAGGCCCAUCAAGGCGACGAUCCGUAGCUGGUCUGAGAGGAUGAUCAGCCACACUGGAACUGAGACACGGUCCAGACUCCUACGGGAGGCAGCAGUGGGGAAUAUUGGACAAAGGGCGCAAGCCUGAUCCAGCCAUACCGCGUGGGUGAAGAAGGCCUUCGGGUUGUAAAGCCCUUUUGUUGGGAAAGAAAAGCAGCAGGUUAAUACCCCGCUGUUCUGACGGUACCCAAAGAAUAAGCACCGGCUAACUUCGUG
RNAcentral lists this ribosomal RNA (492 nucleotides) under uncultured bacterium. Its description in RNAcentral is "partial 16S ribosomal RNA". It matches the Rfam family "Bacterial small subunit ribosomal RNA", at positions 29 to 507 of the family's 1533-position model. The record is from RNAcentral.